AGAGUUUGAUCAUGGCUCAGGACGAACGCUGGCGGUAUGCUUAACACGUGCAAGUCGAACGAGACAAAAGAGAAGUGCUUGCACGGAUCUUUUAGAAAGUGGCGAACGGGUGAGUAACGCGUGGGUAACCUACCCUAUGGAAAGGAAUAGCCUCGGGAAACUGGGAGUAAUGCCUUAUAAGAUAUAUUUGUCGCAUGGCAGAUGUAUUAAACGCUCCGGUGCCAUAGGAUGGACCCGCGUCCCAUUAGCUAGUUGGUGAGAUAACAGCUCACCAAGGCGACGAUGGGUAACCGGUCUGAGAGGGCGAACGGUCACACUGGAACUGAGACACGGUCCAGACUCCUACGGGAGGCAGCAGUGGGGAAUAUUGCGCAAUGGGGGAAACCCUGACGCAGCAAUACCGCGUGAGUGAAGAAGGUUUUCGGAUCGUAAAGCUCUGUUAUUGGGGGAGAAAAAAAGACGGUACCCAAGAAGAAAGUCCCGGCUAACUACGUGCCAGCAGCCGCGGUAAUACGUAGGGGACAAGCGUUGUCCGGAUUUACUGGGCGUAAAGGGCACGCAGGCGGUUUUUUAAGUCAGAUGUGAAAGGUACCGGCUCAACCGGUGACAUGCAUUUGAAACUGAAAGACUUGAGUAUUGGAGAGGCAAGUGGAAUUCCUAGUGUAGCGGUGAAAUGCGUAGAUAUUAUGAGGAACACCGGUGGCGAACGCGGCUUGCUGGACAAAUACUGACGCUGAGCGCGAAAGCGUGGGGAGCAAACAGAUUAGAUACCCUGUAGUCCACGCCGUAACGAUGAGUGCUAGGUGUUGGGGAGACUCAGUGCCGCAGCUAACGCAAUAAGCACUCCGCCUGGG
This 854-nucleotide ribosomal RNA is filed under the name uncultured bacterium. Its description in RNAcentral is "bacterial SSU rRNA". It matches the Rfam family "Bacterial small subunit ribosomal RNA", at positions 8 to 877 of the family's 1533-position model. The record is from RNAcentral.